AUAUUAUUACGGUUUCGCUUAUGUUUAUUUGUGUUUAUUUUUUUAGGCUUAUUGCCAGGGGUAUGACGACAAUCGAGUUUUGUGAAAAACGGACAAAUUAUCACAAUCAGACUUAUACGAAAUAUUAUAAUAAGGGUUUAUGGCAGAAUUUCAAGGAUACCUUUGGCGAGUCAGCAUUUUUUUGGUUUCUACCAAUAGAUGAUAGGAAAGGAGAUGGAAUAAAUUUUAAAAAAGUCCAUAAAGAUGAGAAAAGUGCUAUAUCAGAAGAAGAAACGGUAGCAAUAAAGUAUGACUGUUGAACAUUUAUACAAACAAAAUUAUAAAUUUGAAAAAUGUUAUAAUUGUUCUUUUUUUAUUUUUUUUUUGUUUUAUUUAUAUUCAUUUUUUUUUUUAUUUUUUAUUUUUGUGUAUUAUGGAAUUAUAAAAAUAAAUAUGGUGCUAUUAAUGAUAAAAAAAAUAUA
This 461-nucleotide long non-coding RNA is filed under the name Piliocolobus tephrosceles (Ugandan red Colobus). Its description in RNAcentral is "lncRNA (ENSPTEG00000008912.1)". Lineage: Eukaryota; Metazoa; Chordata; Mammalia; Primates; Cercopithecidae. The record is from RNAcentral.